GGGGACGUAGCUCAGUUGGUAGAGCACCUGCUUUGCAAGCAGGGGGUCAUCGGUUCGAGCCCGAUCGUCUCCA
Molecule: transfer RNA, 73 nt
Filed under: Actinomycetota bacterium
Lineage: Bacteria; Bacillati; Actinomycetota
Description: Actinobacteria bacterium tRNA-Ala
Rfam family: tRNA
About the family: Transfer RNA (tRNA) molecules are approximately 80 nucleotides in length.
Source: RNAcentral